RNAcentral lists this unclassified non-coding RNA (378 nucleotides) under Hevea brasiliensis (rubber tree). Lineage: Eukaryota; Viridiplantae; Streptophyta; Magnoliopsida; Malpighiales; Euphorbiaceae. The record is from RNAcentral.
UAUUCUUCCCUGUGUGAAGGAAUUGUCAUCAGAUUCCUCUCAGCAUGUCCGUUCAGCUCUAGCCUCAGUUAUCAUGGGAAUGGCUCCUGUGCUGGGAAAGGAUGCUACUAUUGAACAGCUGCUUCCGAUAUUCCUUUCUCUGCUUAAGGAUGAAUUUCCCGAUGUGCGCCUCAAUAUCAUUAGCAAGCUUGAUCAAGUAAAUCAGGUUAUUGGAAUUGAUCUCUUGUCUCAAUCACUGUUACCUGCCAUAGUUGAACUUGCUGAGGAUAGGCAUUGGAGGGUUAGGUUAGCAAUUAUAGAAUAUAUUCCUUUACUGGCAAGUCAGCUGGGUGUAGGGUUUUUUGACGAUAAGCUUGGCGCGCUUUGCAUGCAGUGGUG